RNAcentral lists this long non-coding RNA (326 nucleotides) under Ursus americanus (American black bear). Its description in RNAcentral is "lncRNA (ENSUAMG00000005906.1)". Lineage: Eukaryota; Metazoa; Chordata; Mammalia; Carnivora; Ursidae. The record is from RNAcentral.
CGGCAUCGCAGGAGUGGUGGCGCAGCUGUUUCCUCUGGUAGGUGUUCCGCUGCCAUCUUGUGUGUGGCUAGGACUGGGCUUCUUGACGGUUGAACGCUUACUUAGUGGCUCCAGAGAGCUACUCCGUAAUCUUUGUCUCGGAAGAUUGACCGUCACCCCUCUUUAAGGAGGUUGUCUGAUGGACUGCCUGAUUCAGGAAGGAACAAGGCUGGUCAUUAAUAGAAGGGGAGAGAGGGAGAUGCCUCACCACUAUCCUCAGGAUAUACACCAAAUAUUGAGAAGAAGGAACAUCAGGAGCUAAGUGUUCUAUUUAAACCAGUAGUUGC